RNAcentral lists this ribosomal RNA (403 nucleotides) under Bacteroidetes bacterium oral taxon 272. RNAcentral's name for it is "bacterial SSU rRNA". It matches the Rfam family "Bacterial small subunit ribosomal RNA", at positions 28 to 422 of the family's 1533-position model. Lineage: Bacteria; Pseudomonadati; Bacteroidota. The record is from RNAcentral.
GAUGAACGCUAGCUACAGGCUUAACACAUGCAAGUCGUGGGGCAUCAUGAUGUAGUAAUACAUUGAUGGCGACCGGCGCACGGGUGAGUAACGCGUAUCCAACCUACCCUCCACUCAAGUAUAGGCUUCCGAAAGGGAGAUUAAUCCUUGAUAUCGUCAUUCUCUCUCCUGUUAGAAUGAUAAAAGGACAUCGUUUCGGUAGAGGAUGGGGAUGCGUUCCAUUAGGUAGUAGGUGGUUUAACAGGCCACCUAGCCGAUGAUGGAUAGGGGUUCUGAGAGGAAUAUCCCCCACACUGGUACUGAGAUACGGACCAGACUCCUACGGGAGGCAGCAGUGAGGAAUAUUGGUCAAUGGGCGCAAGCCUGAACCAGCCAUGUAGCGUGAAGGAUGGCGGUUUUUUUG